GAGGACUUAGCUUAAUUAAAGUGGUUGAUUUGCGUUCAGUUGAUGUGAGAUGAAAUCUUGCAGUCCUUA
Molecule: transfer RNA, 69 nt
Filed under: Gazella subgutturosa (goitered gazelle)
Lineage: Eukaryota; Metazoa; Chordata; Mammalia; Artiodactyla; Bovidae
Description: tRNA-Ala
Rfam family: tRNA
About the family: Transfer RNA (tRNA) molecules are approximately 80 nucleotides in length.
Source: RNAcentral